RNAcentral lists this long non-coding RNA (503 nucleotides) under Androctonus crassicauda. Lineage: Eukaryota; Metazoa; Arthropoda; Arachnida; Scorpiones; Buthidae. The record is from RNAcentral.
GAGAUGGAAUUUAUAUAUGAAACAGACUACUGGCCUAGGUACAGAAGACAGUUUUUGGAACGUAUCCACAUAGAAGUGGAGAAGGCACUGCAAGGGAAAUGCCAAGAUAAUGCUAGCCAGAACAUAGCCCCUCCAUCUAAGCAGGAUUAUUUAACAGUACCAUAUACACUUGGCAGCAUGAAAUUAACAAAGGAUGUAGGAAAGCUCACGAGAAAAAACUAGCAUACCAAAGAAUGCCAAAUCUAUUUAACAACCUGAGGAACGAGAAGGAUCAGAAAGAAGACCUGGAAAGAUCUAGUAUCUACAGAAUACCGUUUGAGUAUCAAGAUACUCAUCAAAAAGUAGCGUAUAUAGGCAUGACAAUAAGAACUCUGGGUCAAAGGCUUAAGGAGCACAAGAGGGAUAUAAUAAAGGUGAAUCUGAACACAGCACCAGCAACUGAGGCCUAUAAUGCAGACAUAACAAUGGAUUGGUGCAACGCUAAGAUCGUAAAGCAAAUUAGA